This 494-nucleotide ribosomal RNA is filed under the name uncultured bacterium. RNAcentral describes it as "partial 16S ribosomal RNA". It matches the Rfam family "Bacterial small subunit ribosomal RNA", at positions 28 to 507 of the family's 1533-position model. The record is from RNAcentral.
GACGAACGCUGGCGACGCGCUUAACACAUGCAAGUCGAACGGAAAGGCCUGCUUUCCCUUGUGGAUUGCGGGUACUCGAGUGGCGAACGGGUGAGUAACACGUGAGUGAUCUGCCCCCAACUUGGGUAUAAGCCUGGGAAACUGGGUCUAAUUCCCGAUAGGACUGCAGGGUGGUGCCUGUGGUGGAAAACGAUUUUCUAGUGGUUGGGGAUGAGCUCGCGGCCUACCAGCUUGUUGGUGGGGUAAUGGCCUACCAAGGCGGCGACGGGUAGCCGGCCUGAGAGGGUGGACGGCCACAUUGGGACUGAGAUACGGCCCAGACUCCUACGGGAGGCAGCAGUGGGGAAUAUUGCACAAUGGGCGGAAGCCUGAUGCAGCGACGCCGCGUGGGGGAUGACGGCCUUCGGGUUGUAAACUCCUUUCGACCGCGAGGAAGCCACCUGGUUGGAAGGGUGGUGACGGUAGUGGUAGAAGAAGCACCGGCUAACUACGUG